UACGGGGGUGGCAAGCGUUGUUCGGAAUUACUGGGCGUAAAGGGCGCGUAGGCGGUUGGAUAAGUUGGUGGUGAAAACCUCGAGCUUAACUCGGGGCCUGCCAUCAAUACUGCCCGGCUGGAGUGUGGGAGAGGAGAGUGGAAUUCCCGGUGUAGCGGUGAAAUGCGUAGAUAUCGAGAGGAACACCUGCGGCGAAGGCGGGUUGCUGGGCCGACACUGACGCUGAAGCGCGAAAGCCAGGGGAGCGAACGGG
Molecule: ribosomal RNA, 253 nt
Filed under: uncultured bacterium
Lineage: Bacteria
Description: partial 16S ribosomal RNA
Rfam family: Bacterial small subunit ribosomal RNA
Source: RNAcentral